CCUACGGGUGGCAGCAGUGGGGAAUAUUGCACAAUGGGGGAAACCCUGAUGCAGCGACGCCGCGUGAGUGAAGAAGUAAUUCGUUAUGUAAAGCUCUAUCAGCAGGGAAGAAAAUGACGGUACCUGAGUAAGACGACCCGGCGAACGACGUGCCAGCAGCCGCGGUAAUACGCAGCGGGCAAGCGUUAUCCGGAUUUACUGGGUGUAAAGGGAGCGUAGACGGCAGUGCAAGGCUGGAGUGAAAGGCGGGGGCUCAACCCCCGGACUGCUCUGGAAACUGGACGGCUGGAGUGCAGGAGAGGUAAGUGGAAGUCCUAGUGUAGCGGUGAAAUGCGUAGAUAUUAGGAGGAACACCCGUGGCGAAGGCGGCUUACUGGACUGUAACUGACGUUGCGGCUCGAAAGCGUGGGGAGCAAACAGGAUUAGAUACCCGGGUAGUC
This 440-nucleotide ribosomal RNA is filed under the name uncultured bacterium. Its description in RNAcentral is "partial 16S ribosomal RNA". It matches the Rfam family "Bacterial small subunit ribosomal RNA", at positions 338 to 795 of the family's 1533-position model. The record is from RNAcentral.